RNAcentral lists this long non-coding RNA (470 nucleotides) under Phoenix dactylifera (date palm). Its description in RNAcentral is "long non-coding RNA (PDAC_LNC020632)". The record is from RNAcentral. Lineage: Eukaryota; Viridiplantae; Streptophyta; Magnoliopsida; Arecales; Arecaceae.
UUUCCCCUAUUUUUCACACCAGAGUGUUAGGUUAAUUAUGUUCUAUAUGUUCAUGUAUUGUUCUAGUAGCACAGGUUUAAGCAAACCAUGAUUGCACCUUCUCUUCAUGAUGCCGAUUGUUGAUGCAUCUACUGUUUGCUGUUGCAUCUUUUUUCCUCCAUUUUGUUUGGCUUUUGGCGCUAUAUUACUAGCUUGUCAGUUUAAUACAUUUUCAUGAACAUCUCUAUUAACACCAUUCAUUGGUUGCUCUCUAGAGUCUCUACCUUUGUUGCUUCCAUCUUCUCUUUGUUACGGUUAGUCAUCUUCAGCGCUCUGUCAUGAUCCUAUUUGUUCAUAAAUUCAUAGUGCGAUUGAAUGGCCAACAAUAUUUCUAAAAUGUUUUGAGACAGCAACUCUGGAAUGUUUGUCAACUCAGCAUGCAUUGAAUCUCACACAUAUUGAUUAAAUUCCUUAUCCCCGUCCUUUUUUUU